GACGAACGCUGGCGGCGUGCUUAACACAUGCAAGUCGAACGGAAAGGCCCUGCUUGCCGGGUACUCGAGCGGCGAACGGGUGAGUAACACGUGGGUGAUCUGCCCUGCACUUCGGGAUAAGCUUGGGAAACUGGGUCUAAUACCGGAUAGGAGCCAUCUUUAGUGUGGUGGUUGGAAAGUUUUUUCGGUGUAGGAUGAGCUCGCGGCCUAUCAGCUUGUUGGUGGGGUAAUGGCCUACCAAGGCGGCGACGGGUAGCCGGCCUGAGAGGGUGUACGGCCACAUUGGGACUGAGAUACGGCCCAGACUCCUACGGGAGGCAGCAGUGGGGAAUAUUGCACAAUGGGCGCAAGCCUGAUGCAGCGACGCCGCGUGGGGGAUGAAGGCCUUCGGGUUGUAAACUCCUUUCGCUAGGGACGAAGCUUUUUGUGACGGUACCUAGAUAAGAAGCACCGGCUAACUACGUG
This 465-nucleotide ribosomal RNA is filed under the name uncultured bacterium. Its description in RNAcentral is "partial 16S ribosomal RNA". It matches the Rfam family "Bacterial small subunit ribosomal RNA", at positions 28 to 507 of the family's 1533-position model. The record is from RNAcentral.